GGUUAAGCGACUAAGCGUACACGGUGGAUGCCCUGGCAGUCAGAGGCGAUGAAGGACGUGCUAAUCUGCGAAAAGCGCCGGCGAGGUGAUAUGAACCYUUGACCCGGCGAUGUCCGAAUGGGGAAACCCAGUGCAAUYCGUUGCACUAUCGUUAACUGAAUACAUAGGUUAACGAGGCGAACCGGGGGAACUGAAACAUCUAAGUACCCCGAGGAAAAGAAAUCAACCGAGAUUCCCCCAGUAGCGGCGAGCGAACGGGGAGCAGCCCGGAGUCUGAAUCAGCUUGUGUGUUAGUGGAACGGUCUGGAAAGUCCGACGGUACAGGGUGAUAGUCCCGUACACGAAAGCACACWUGCUGUGAACUCGAAGAGUAGGGCGGGACACGUGGUAUCCUGUCUGAAUAUGGGGGGACCAUCCUCCAAGGCUAAAUACUCCUGACUGACCGAUAGUGAACCAGUACCGUGAGGGAAAGGCGAAAAGAACCCCGGCGAGGGGAGUGAAAAAGAACCUGAAACCGUGUACGUACAAGCAGUGGGAGCCUCUUUAUGGGGUGACUGCGUACCUUUUGUAUAAUGGGUCAGCGACUUAUAUUCUGUAGCAAGGUUAACCGUAUAGGGGAGCCGAAGGGAAACCGAGUCUUAACUGGG
This 647-nucleotide ribosomal RNA is filed under the name Enterobacter hormaechei. Its description in RNAcentral is "partial 23S ribosomal RNA". The record is from RNAcentral. Lineage: Bacteria; Pseudomonadati; Pseudomonadota; Gammaproteobacteria; Enterobacterales; Enterobacteriaceae.